GGACGGGUGGCCGAGUGGUUAAUGGCAGCAGACUGUAAAUCUGCCGCCCCUUGUGGGCUACGGAGGUUCGAAUCCUCCCCCGUCCACCA
Molecule: transfer RNA, 89 nt
Filed under: Acidobacteria bacterium RIFCSPHIGHO2_01_FULL_67_28
Lineage: Bacteria; Pseudomonadati; Acidobacteriota
Also listed under: 3 other names
Description: tRNA-Tyr
Rfam family: tRNA
About the family: Transfer RNA (tRNA) molecules are approximately 80 nucleotides in length. Their secondary structure includes four short double-helical elements and three loops (D, anti-codon, and T loops).
Source: RNAcentral